This 232-nucleotide ribosomal RNA is filed under the name uncultured bacterium. RNAcentral describes it as "partial 16S ribosomal RNA". It matches the Rfam family "Bacterial small subunit ribosomal RNA", at positions 99 to 334 of the family's 1533-position model. The record is from RNAcentral.
CGGACGGGUGAGUAAUGUCUGGGAAACUGCCUGAUGGAGGGGGGUAACUACUGGAAACGGUAGCUAAUUCCGCAUAACGUCGCAAGACCAAAGAGGGGGACCUUCGGGCCUCUUGCCAUCGGAUGUGCCCAGAUGGGAUUAGCUAGUAGGUGGGGUAAAGGCUCACCUAGGCGACGAUCCCUAGCUGGUCUGAGAGGAUGACCAGCCACACUGGAACUGAGACACGGUCCAG